UAAGGAAUAUUGCUCAAUGGGAGAAAUCCUGAAGCAGCAACGCCGCGUGGAGGAUGAAGGGUCUAUGACUUGUAAACUCCUGUAAAGAAGGAAAAAAUUCCCAUUUGAUGGGAGAUGAUGGUACUUCUGGAGUAAGCCCCGGCUAACUACGUGCCAGCAGCCGCGGUAAUACGUAGGGGGCAAGCGUUGUCCGGAUUUACUGGGUGUAAAGGAUGCGUAGGCGGAUACUUAAGUCAGAUGUGAAAAUCCCGGGCUUAACUUGGGAACUGCAUUUGAAACUGGGUAUCUAGAGUGCGGGAGAGGAAAGUGGAAUUCCUAGUGUAGCGGUGAAAUGCGUAGAGAUUAGGAAGAACACCAGUGGCGAAGGCGACUUUCUGAACCGUAACUGACGCUGAGGCAUGAAAGCGUGGGGAGCAAACA
RNAcentral lists this ribosomal RNA (420 nucleotides) under uncultured bacterium. RNAcentral describes it as "bacterial SSU rRNA". It matches the Rfam family "Bacterial small subunit ribosomal RNA", at positions 355 to 774 of the family's 1533-position model. The record is from RNAcentral.